RNAcentral lists this ribosomal RNA (333 nucleotides) under Triticum aestivum (bread wheat). Its description in RNAcentral is "partial small subunit ribosomal RNA". Lineage: Eukaryota; Viridiplantae; Streptophyta; Magnoliopsida; Poales; Poaceae. The record is from RNAcentral.
AUGGAAGAGCUGACGCCGGAGUUGAUCUGCAAGUUAGAGAAGAUCUUUCCGCGGGGGUUCUUUAACCCAAUGCUGCACUUGAUUUUGCAUCUACCAACCGAGGCAAGAUUGGGGAGGGGGGGCAUGCAAAAUCGUUGGUGCUACACAACUGAGAGGAUACAGAAGACGCUUCAAGCAAAAUAUAAAAAUAAAUGUAGAAUUGAAGCAUCGAUGGCCGAUGCAUUCAAUACUGAGGAGGCGACAAACUUCGUGACAGCACACUACGAAGACAAAAUUCAUCAUUUGCAUAAUCCGAAGCCUCGGUACAAUGCUGGCGACCCUAAAAAGGGUUGA